RNAcentral lists this transfer RNA (87 nucleotides) under Streptomyces paromomycinus. RNAcentral's name for it is "tRNA-Thr". The record is from RNAcentral. Lineage: Bacteria; Bacillati; Actinomycetota; Actinomycetes; Kitasatosporales; Streptomycetaceae.
UCCGGCGUGGUCGGGUGCAGGUCGGCCGCCUCGUACGUGACCAGCGACUGCCAGUCGCGCGGAUGCCGUACGAGGUGGUCGCCGAGC